Mus musculus (house mouse) is the source of this 1958-nucleotide long non-coding RNA. RefSeq annotates it as predicted gene, 40875. Lineage: Eukaryota; Metazoa; Chordata; Mammalia; Rodentia; Muridae. The transcript is spliced from 3 exons. The record is from RefSeq and is a predicted model, not a curated record.
UCAGGAGAAGCGUCAUAAAGGCUCAAUAUUCUGACCACUGGAAACAGUCCCGGACACCCCGUCCACUGCCAUGCAACCUAUAGGAGGCGCUCUCUAAUGACCUAAGAGGCUCUGCAUCUGGAAACAAUAAGGAAAAAACACUGAGAGACAACCUGUAGUCUCCCAUCAAUGAGGGGUCAUGUGUCAUGGCAUACAAGUGGCAUACAGAAGACAACGUGGGGAAAACAGCUCUGUCUUCCUACCUCAUAGAUCCUGGGGCCAAACUAAGGUGAUUAGGCUUGGAAGCAAGAUCUCUACCUGCAGAGUUAUCUCAUCAGCCCCUAUAGUAGCAUCUCAUCUGCACAUAAAAGUAUAUGUUAUCAUUCGCAACCAAGUUAACUUCCUAAUCUCUGAGUAGCUUAGGAAUAAAACCUUACUGACUAUUGUUCAUGGGUCUGAAGGUACUCUACUCACUAUUAGAAGAGAAAGGUAGCCACCAGCACAACAAUAAACCCUGUGAUCUACAAGUGAUGUGCCCUGUGACAUGCUGGUGCACUGGUGGCAUACAUGUUAUGGAUGUAACCACUCGUUCUCUGAUUGUAUUUAAAGCCCACUCUUCAAAAUAGAACCCAUGCCUGGCACUGCCCGGGUAGCCAAAAGCCUGAGACAAGAUAGGCCAUGAAUCUAGAGGAAAACAAAAUACCAAGUACUGCUAGAGGAAUAUAACAAUAUAAAAUGACUUCCAAGGACAAGCUGCUAUGCCCAUAGACCAUCAUCAGACAAGCUUCCCCUUGUAGUAAAUGGAAACUAAACCAGAAACUCACAACUGGACAAUGUGUGAAGAACGAGAGAUUUCUGGAACACUUAGUCAUAAAUAAGAUCUCUUCAUUAAAGCCCUCCCCUCAGAGCUCAGGGAACUAAUGCUGAAGAGAGACAGAAAUAUAGCAAGAACCAGAGGGGUCCUAUGACAUCAUGGAAAGAGUGCUUCAGAAACCCCAGCCCAACAGGGUUAAUGUGCACGUGAUCCCACAAAGACUGUGGCAGCAUGCACAGGGCUGGCACAAGUUCAAACCAGAUGGGGCCCCAGUGCGGAGGGGUGUUGAGGGGACGGGACUAGAUAUUCCAAGGCUAUCUCCAAUGACACCUGCCUGCAAGAAAAAAAAAAAACACUUUUCUCUAAUGAAGCUUCACUGGGUGUGUUAACCACACUUACAUGUUUGACCCGGGCCCAGCAGAAGAUUGCCAACACAAAUUUGACUCAGUUAUAUUGUUGUAGACAGUCUGUCUUAUAUUCUGUUGCUUGGGCCUUUUUUCCUAUUGGUUGUUUGCUUGUAAUAUGUUUAUGAUUUCUAAUUUUGUGUUUGUGUGUGUGUGUGUGUGUGUGUGUGUGUGUGUGUGUGUGUGUGUUUGCAUGCGCAAGAAUGUAAGUGUUUGGUUUUCUUUGUGCUUUGCUCUUAAUUCUGGUUUGCUUAGGGUAUUUUUGCAGAAGAGAAUGAGAAACAACCGUAUGGAGGUCUGGGAGUGGGAAAGUAAGGAGAGUCUCGGAGAGGGGAACCGUGAUCAGAAUAUAUUUUAUGAAACAGUAGUUUUUUCAGCAAAAUCAGAAUUAUUUUUUUGUUUUCUGUUUUCUUGCCUUUUUAUUGUUUGGAAUUUUGGUGGGGGUUCAUGUGGGGUCUUUUGAGAUAAGGCUCUGUGAUAUACACCAGGCUGGCUCUGAACUCAUGUGCCUCCCACCUCAGUCCCCUCAGAAGUCAGGAUUGCAAACAUCUACCAACAUUAUCUAGUUAUUAAGAAUAGUUUUGAAUGGGAAGGGCUAUGAUAAAACCAUCAAUCAUGAUAUAUGAAACCUUCAUUUAUGCUUAUAAUCCAAAAUAUUCAUUAAAGUAAACUUGGAAAUGGUUAAAAUAUAAAAUAGCAGAAUAAACUACAUUAAAUUGAACAUUAAACAAAUAUAUUUGUGCAAGAGAGACUGGAUCUGC